GUUGACGAAAAAUUUUCGUCAUAGUUAUCGUCAACGACCUUUUUUUUCUGACUAAAACGAGACAAUAACUAAAUAAAAAAUAAUUUACGUGGACAAGACAAUGACGAGGUGUAUUGACAUAUUCGUCAACGAAUAAAAACGAGACGAAAAUGUCUGCCAGAGACGAGAUCCAAUCGGAACUCAUUUCGUUAGGAAAAGGCGGGAGGAGUUGGGAAGAGAACCAAUCAGAGCGACGUGGUAAGGAAGUUACGUAAACGUAGUUUGCGUUUGAGACUGACCCGGGAAUGCGCUGCAGAAGACAACAUGUCAACGCUGGGGAGGAAGAGGAGAGAGGACAUAUGGGGAAAUGUUAUAUUUGACGUCAAAGAUAACAAGACGCAGUGUAAGAAAUGCAGCACGAGGAUUACGGGGAAAAACACAACAAACUUGAAGCGACAUUUACAGUCGAAUCACUCGAAAUCCACACACAGCACAUGUCCAAAGUAGUAUAUAGGAAAGAAGAGAAUAUUCCAGUUGCUGCUGAACCAGGAGAUGAAGAAAGGACAGGAGAAUGACCGGUAGGUCAGCUUGACCACCUGAGUGGUACCCACCCAGGAGGAGGAGACGCAGAGCACCAUCAGCAGACCACCUAGCACCUUCAGCACUGUGCAGGUGCAGGUCUGGUACGACAGGCUCUCCUCGCUUGUCUCGCUGCCUGGCGUCUCAGCGUGAGACUCCAAACCAUCCUCUCCUAACGGGAAGAGAAAUACCACAAAUGUACACAGAAUGUCACUCAGGUCCCGAAAAUGUCACAUCAAACCACGGCGGAAUGGUGGAGAUGUCUAUAACACAAUCCUGCCUUCUUCCAAAGUUGCUCCAAAAAAGUGUGGAGAAUGCAUAUAUUUUUAAGAGUUCUGUCUUUAUUCAUAGUCAUGUUUAAAGCAGCUAAUAUUUUCCCAUGUGUACACUUCGUGCUUUUUCCUUUUGUUCGCUAGUAAACUCUGUUUCACCUUGAAGGCACUGGAAUGUCUAUUGGGAGUAUAAUGUACUCCCUUUUUAACAAUAAGGCUGUAUUUCUUUAAGGGCAGGAGGGGGCUGUUUCCAUACUAAAUAAGCUGACUUUUUCCGUUUGAUUUUCAGACCGCUUCUUGAUGCUGCUAUUAACGCAUUUGUAAGGACUGGUCUCUUAAAGCUUUAGUAAAACUUGGUAGUAUUGCUAUUCUGUUUUGGUGGUCCUUCUUACUCAACAUAUAUGCCAUCCGAAAGAUCUUGGGAUUGACCAGUGUCUUUUAUUCCCUGAGAGGAAGACUGGUCCGACGCAACACAAGCCGUUUGGAAUUUGAGACGAUUGUGACGUAUUUUGCCUUAGUUACGUCCGCAGAUAUCUCCAUACAUGAUAGAGGGUUACCCAAAGAGCGUUGCACUAGUUCACCAUUUGUAUUCAG
This is a long non-coding RNA of Nerophis ophidion (straightnose pipefish), 1424 nucleotides long. RefSeq lists it as uncharacterized. The record is from RefSeq and is a predicted model, not a curated record. The transcript has 3 exons. NCBI's taxonomy places the organism in Eukaryota, Metazoa, Chordata, Actinopteri, Syngnathiformes, Syngnathidae.